CGCUCUCGUUCUCGCUCUGUUCCUUCUUCUUGCAAAGCCCCAUCACUGCCUGUCUCUAGGGUUCAUGGAAGCCGACACCCGGAGCCACUUGUCCGCCGCUUCCAAGAGCCGCCAUCCGGCUUUGCAAUCCCGAUACGAUGCGUAUCUCGGGUUCGAGGAGUUGGAUGGAGGGGAGGACGAACCGCGACCGGAGUUCGCUUGCCCGUUCUGCUCUGAGGUCUUCGAUGUCGUGGGGCUGUGCUGCCACAUGGAUGAUGAGCAUCCGGUCGAGGCUAAGAACGGGGUGUGCCCUGUUUGUGCAGCUAGGGUUGGGAUGGACAUGGUUGGCCACAUAACUACACAACAUGCAAAUUUUUUAAAAAUACAGCGUAGGAGGAGAUACCACAAAGGAUCCUGGGGGUCCCACUCUACAAUUCUUUUGUUGAGAAAGGAUAAUACACUGGAAGGCAAUAUGCAAUCACUUGUGGGGGGUUCUUCUUUUACUCCCUCCAGUGCUGCACCUGAUCCAUUGUUGUCGUCAUUCAUUUUUAAUUUGCCAGUGAUUGAUCCAUCAGAAGAUGCCCGGCCUGAACCUUUGGAUGAACGAAGUAUGGAUGAUAAAAUUUCAGAGGAGAAAUUGGUUGAGAGUGUUGUGCCAUGUCCACUACACCAAGAUCGGGAGGAGAGUGCUCGGAGGAGCGAGUUUGCGAGCCAGAUUGUGAUCUCUACAAUAUUCGACGACACAUUAUGAACUCCUCCAGCUCUCAUGGUGGCAUCAGCAGCAGCUCACGAGACAAUCUGGACAUGGUUAGAGGUUGCUGCAAUGGUGAUACCGGACCUGAACCAGAGAGCAUCGUGAACUCGAAAGACAGUUCACUUCCCUGAGCCUCUAAGAACGAUGAGGUGCCCUUCGAACGACCGCGCCGCUUGCGAAGAGCAAUCUCGAACUUCCCCUUCGUUGUUGCAGCGGAUGGCGAGCCUUACGGAGUGCAGACGAAGUUCCUGGAGUCGUAAGGACG
Molecule: RNA transcript, 998 nt
Organism: Musa acuminata subsp. malaccensis (wild Malaysian banana)
Lineage: Eukaryota; Viridiplantae; Streptophyta; Magnoliopsida; Zingiberales; Musaceae
Gene name: protein DEHYDRATION-INDUCED 19 homolog 2
Source: RefSeq, a predicted model, not a curated record